Molecule: long non-coding RNA, 133 nt
Organism: Sander lucioperca (pikeperch)
Lineage: Eukaryota; Metazoa; Chordata; Actinopteri; Perciformes; Percidae
Exons: 2
Source: RefSeq, a predicted model, not a curated record
UUUAUCUCCAGUGUGAAUGCGUUGAUGGCUUUUUAGGCUACUACUCUGAGAAAACGUUUUCCCACAUUGUUCACACCAGUACGGCUUCUCUCCAGUGUGAAUGCGCUGGUGAGAUUUAAGGUUACUACUCAGA